RNAcentral lists this ribosomal RNA (450 nucleotides) under uncultured bacterium. Its description in RNAcentral is "bacterial SSU rRNA". It matches the Rfam family "Bacterial small subunit ribosomal RNA", at positions 354 to 796 of the family's 1533-position model. The record is from RNAcentral.
GUGGGGAAUUUUGGACAAUGGGCGCAAGCCUGAUCCAGCAAUGCCGCGUGAGUGAAGAAGGCCUUCGGGUUGUAAAGCUCUUUUGUCAGGGAAGAAACGGGGUUGGCUAAUAUCUGAUCCUAAUGACGGUACCUGAAGAAUAAGCACCGGCUAACUACGUGCCAGCAGCCGCGGUAAUACGUAGGGUGCAAGCGUUAAUCGGAAUUACUGGGCGUAAAGCGUGCGCAGGCGGUUUUGUAAGACUGACGUGAAAUCCCCGGGCUCAACCUGGGAAUGGCGUUGGUGACUGCAAGGCUAGAGUUUGGCAGAGGGGGGUAGAAUUCCACGUGUAGCAGUGAAAUGCGUAGAUAUGUGGAGGAACACCGAUGGCGAAGGCAGCCCCCUGGGUCAAAACUGACGCUCAUGCACGAAAGCGUGGGGAGCAAACAGGAUUAGAAACCCGUGUAGUCC